CUUUUUGAACAAAUAAAACAAGGUAAAUGUUACCAACACUUCAGUGAUAACUCAACUCUCGUUCUCUAUUCUCUCUCUCACCAAAAAUCUCACCGAUCAAAAUGAAUCGACGACAACAAUCAAUCGCCACGGUCGCCGCCACAUCACCACCGUCAUGCAUCAUCGUCGUCACGCCAAUUCAGUUUUCUUUUCUCGACCACAAACAACAAAUCGAUCACAGAAGCAGAGCUAUUCACCACAUUAACGUUCUUUCUCUCUUCACAACCUCGAAUAAUCACUUUGAUUCUUCGUUCAGUUCACAACGUCAAUUCAUAGCUCGAUUCAUCAGCAUUCCAUUCAUUGCAGAAUCUUCAUCUUAGGGUUCGUGAUUUUGUUCUAAUUAAUUCAAUUUGAGAUAAGUGAUAAUUUGUGUUUUUGUUCUUAGUUAUAAUUUGUUGAUUCUGUUAUUCGUUAUUCAUUCAUUCAUUUGUUCAUGCUUAUGCUUUAGCUGAAGCUUAGCAAUCAUCGAUUUCGGUAACCACCAGUGUCCAACCAUCAAGAAUUCAACGAUAUCAAUCUUCGGAUUGCAGCUCUAGCUACCAAAAGACAGCAUUGUUUCCCUCGUUGUAUUAUUGUGAAAUUUGACAGUGAAAUUUUCUCUUGGAAGGUUUUGGUGUUGGUUGAGGUUUCGGUGUUGGAUACGAUUUCAGAGGACCAAAACGGAAGUUAUUUUGAUUCAGGGUAGUUCCAGAUUGUUGCCUAACAAGGGUGAUUGGGAAAUCAAUCUAUAUGAGUUCGAUUUCUCAAGUUCUAUGCGUAUUGGAAAGGUACUGCCUCCUGCGUUUUAUUCUCUUGUAGACAAUGUGAAUGAUGAAGGAAAAGCCAAUACUAUUUGAGGUACUCUAGCCAGUACUGCCUCCUGCAUUUAAGUGAUGUAUUUGUUGUUUUGAUUUGGUGGUAAGCAACAAACAUUGGUGUGGAAGUGCAUCCAUUGGAUGUCUUCACAAACUACGGCAAGAUUUGCUUCUACUGUUGGGAUACUGCUGGAUAGGAGAAGUUUGGUGGCCUCAGAGAUGGAUAUAUUAGGUGGGGAGCUCUAUUCUUGGAGGUCUGACUUGACAGUUCCAUUUUCUAGAUUUGCAGAUAUGGAUGGUCUAACAUCUUUAAAAAGGUCUUAUUUGUUUCUUCAUUAUCCUCCAUUAGCCCUGUUUAUGUAUGGACCCCGGAGAUUACAGUCUUCUUUCAUCUUUCACCUUCAUUGCAGGAAGGAAGUAGAUGGAGGCAUUACUUUAAUUAAGUAUAUCUUCCCAACAUAUUGUUAGUUUAGCUUGUUAAGUUCAUGUACAUUUAUACUUUUUUGCUUUCUUUUUAAUGAGUCGGGCCCAUCUGUCUUUCUUCUGAUUGUAUUAUUUACUUUUGGUGCUUUUAACUACAGUGUGUCUAUAUUAGGAAUUGGUUUCAAUUUGUGUAUAGUGAUCUUAAUAUUAAUAAGAAUUUGAGAUGGAAUCAAUUGUUUGUGUUUUACUGAUUGA
Medicago truncatula (barrel medic) is the source of this 1511-nucleotide long non-coding RNA. RefSeq lists it as uncharacterized. The record is from RefSeq and is a predicted model, not a curated record. The transcript has 4 exons. Lineage: Eukaryota; Viridiplantae; Streptophyta; Magnoliopsida; Fabales; Fabaceae.